UACAGAGGUCUCAAGCGUUGUUCGGAUUCAUUGGGCGUAAAGGGUGCGCAGGCGGCGUGGUAAGUUGAGUGUGAAAUCUCGGGGCUCAACCCCGAAACUGCACUCAAUACUGCCAUGCUCGAGGACUGUAGAGGAGAGUGGAAUUCACGGUGUAGCAGUGAAAUGCGUAGAUAUCGUGAGGAAGACCAGUUGCGAAGGCGACUCUCUGGGCAGUUCCUGACGCUCAUGCACGAAGGCCAGGGGAGCAAACGGG
RNAcentral lists this ribosomal RNA (253 nucleotides) under uncultured bacterium. RNAcentral's name for it is "partial 16S ribosomal RNA". It matches the Rfam family "Bacterial small subunit ribosomal RNA", at positions 524 to 776 of the family's 1533-position model. The record is from RNAcentral.